This 509-nucleotide ribosomal RNA is filed under the name Plebeia sp. WK-2016. Its description in RNAcentral is "partial small subunit ribosomal RNA". The stretch from base 357 to 509 matches the Rfam family "Bacterial large subunit ribosomal RNA", at positions 2473 to 2626 of the family's 2925-position model. The record is from RNAcentral. Lineage: Eukaryota; Metazoa; Arthropoda; Insecta; Hymenoptera; Apidae.
AGUCAUCUGCCCAAUGAAUAAUUUAUUUUAAUGGCUGCAGUAUAACUAACUGUACAAAGGUAGCAUAAUCAAUUGAUUUUUAAAUGAAAUCUGGAAUGAAAGGAUUAAUGAAAUAUAUACUGUCUCAUAUUUAUUUUAUGAAUUUAAAAUUUUAAUAAAAAUGUUAAAAUUUAUUUAUGGGACGAUAAGACCCUAUAGAAUUUUAUAUUAAAUUAAUUUUAUAAUUAAAUAUAAAAUUUAAUUUAAUAUUUAAUUGGGAGAAUUAUUAAAUUUAAUAAAUUUUAAUUAAUAAAAACUUUAAUUAAAGAAAAUUUAUUGAUUUUUAAUUUAAAAUUAAUAGAUUAAAUUACCUUAGGGAUAACAGCGUAAUAUUUUUUUAUAGAUCUUAUAGAAAAAAAUGAUUGCGACCUCGAUGUUGAAUUAAGAUAAAUUUUAAAUGUAGAAGUUUAAUAAUUAAGUCUGUUCGACUUUUAAAAUCUUACAUGAUUUGAGUUCAAAUCGACGUAAGU